RNAcentral lists this ribosomal RNA (497 nucleotides) under uncultured bacterium. RNAcentral's name for it is "partial 16S ribosomal RNA". It matches the Rfam family "Bacterial small subunit ribosomal RNA", at positions 28 to 507 of the family's 1533-position model. The record is from RNAcentral.
GAUGAACGCUGGCGGCGUGCCUAAUACAUGCAAGUCGAGCGAACGGACGAGAAGCUUGCUUCUCUGAUGUUAGCGGCGGACGGGUGAGUAACACGUGGAUAACCUACCUAUAAGACUGGGAUAACUUCGGGAAACCGUAGCUAAUACCGGAUAAUAUUUUGAACCGCAUGGUUCAAAAGUGAAAGACGGUCUUGCUGUCACUUAUAGAUGGAUCCGCGCUGCAUUAGCUAGUUGGUAAGGUAACGGCUUACCAAGGCAACGAUGCAUAGCCGACCUGAGAGGGUGAUCGGCCACACUGGAACUGAGACACGGUCCAGACUCCUACGGGAGGCAGCAGUAGGGAAUCUUCCGCAAUGGGCGAAAGCCUGACGGAGCAACGCCGCGUGAGUGAUGAAGGUCUUCGGAUCGUAAAACUCUGUUAUUAGUGAAGAACAUAUGUGUAAGUAACUGUGCACAGCUUGACGGUACCUAAUCAGAAAGCCACGGCUAACUACGUG